CAGCAGCCGCGGUAAUACGAAGGGGGCUAGCGUUGCUCGGAAUGACUGGGCGUAAAGGGCGCGUAGGCGGUUUGUACAGUUGGAUGUGAAAUUCCUGGGCUUAACCUGGGGGCUGCAUUCAAUACGUGCAGGCUUGAGUGUGGAAGAGGGUUGUGGAGUUCCCAGUGUAGAGGUGAAAUGCGUAGAUAUCGGAAGGAACACCUGUGGCGAAAGCGGCUCACUGGACCAUUACUGACGCUGAGGCGCGAAAGCUAGGGGAGCAAACAGGAUUAGAUACCCCAGUAGUCCCUGUCUCUUAUAC
This 301-nucleotide ribosomal RNA is filed under the name uncultured bacterium. RNAcentral describes it as "partial 16S ribosomal RNA". It matches the Rfam family "Bacterial small subunit ribosomal RNA", at positions 509 to 807 of the family's 1533-position model. The record is from RNAcentral.